GCCGGAGUGGCGAAACUGGUAAACGCGGGGAUUUCCUAAAUCCCUUUGAGGGCUACUCAUUGCGGGUUCAAGUCCCGUCUCCGGUA
Molecule: transfer RNA, 86 nt
Filed under: hydrothermal vent metagenome
Description: tRNA-Arg-CCT
Rfam family: tRNA
About the family: Transfer RNA (tRNA) molecules are approximately 80 nucleotides in length. Their secondary structure includes four short double-helical elements and three loops (D, anti-codon, and T loops). Further hydrogen bonds mediate the characteristic L-shaped molecular structure. tRNAs have two regions of fundamental functional importance: the anti-codon, which is responsible for specific mRNA codon recognition, and the 3' end, to which the tRNAs corresponding amino acid is attached (by aminoacyl-tRNA synthetases). tRNAs cope with the degeneracy of the genetic code in two manners: having more than one tRNA (with a specific anti-codon) for a particular amino acid; and 'wobble' base-pairing, i.e. permitting non-standard base-pairing at the 3rd anti-codon position.
Source: RNAcentral